This 460-nucleotide ribosomal RNA is filed under the name uncultured bacterium. RNAcentral describes it as "partial 16S ribosomal RNA". It matches the Rfam family "Bacterial small subunit ribosomal RNA", at positions 338 to 795 of the family's 1533-position model. The record is from RNAcentral.
CCUACGGGUGGCAGCAGUGAGGAAUAUUGGUCAAUGGACGAGAGUCUGAACCAGCCAAGUAGCGUGAAGGAUGACUGCCCUAUGGGUUGUAAACUUCUUUUAUAAAGGAAUAAAACGAGGCACGUGUGCCUUUUUGCAUGUACUUUAUGAAUAAGGAUCGGCUAACUCCGUGCAAGCAGCCGUGGUAAUACGGAGGAUCCGAUCGUUAUCAGGAUUUAUUGGGUUUAAAGGGAGCGUAGAUGGGUUGUUACGUCAGUUGUGAAAGUUUGCGGCUCAACCGUAAAAUUGCAAUUGAUACUGGCAUGCUGGAGUACAGUUGAGGUAGGCGGAAUUCGUGGUGUAGCGGUGAAAUGCUUAGAUAUCACGAAGAACCCCGAUUGCGAAGGCAGCUUACUAAACUGUGACUGACAUUGAUGCUCGAAAGUGUGGGUAUCAAACAGGAUUAGAUACCCCAGUAGUC